AUGCAGGUAGCAUUUUCCUUAAAAAUGUGGGUUUCUCUCAAAAGCAACCCCUGUGUUCUUUUUGCACACAUGCCCACAUGUUGGAGCAUUGCUGUGAAUCCAGAGGGGCCCUGCUCCACGGCACAGCAGAAGGGAGCAGCUCCUUUUUUCCAGAGCUGCUGGGACCUGCAGGAAGGCAGCAAUGCAGCGCACAGCUGCCAGCAUGGUGUCAGGGCCAGGGACAGUGGGACAAGGCGGUCAGGAUGCAGCGAGGGCUUUGGGGACAUGGAAACAGGAAACAACAGGAAACAAGAGCUUUCCCCGACACCAGCACAUCCUGACAGCACAGCAAAUCUGUGUCCGUCCUGGGGAACUCACCUGCUUCAGCCCCGGAGCUGUUCUGGGCACGCUGCUGGCUCACGGUCAGCCUGUUGGCCACCGUUGGCCUUUGGCCAUAGGGACACACUGCUGGCUCACAGCCACCCGUUGGCCACCAGGACACCUGGGUGCUUGUCCACAGAGCUCCUUUCCAGCAGCUCAGCCCUCAACCUGUACUCAUGUGUGUGGCUGUUCCUCCCCAGGCGCAGGACCCUGUGCUUGCUCGUGUUGAACCUCAUCAGGUUCCUCUCUGCCCGGCUCUCAGCCUACCUGGCUCUCGCUGAAUGGCAGCACAGCCUUCUGCUGAGUCACUCUCCCCAGCUUUGCAUCAUCCUUCCCUCUUCUGUUAAGCCCCACUCUAGCGGUUCACAUUCUUCAGUCUUAAAAUUUACAGGCUGCACCAGGCUUCAGGUAGCUGUGGCAGAGGCAGCCCAAGCAGAGAGAGACUGCAAUAGGCAGCAUCCAGGGCAUCCCUAUGGACCAGCACGGAAAGCACAAGGAACAUUUCAGCGCUCAGCAAAAGGAGCGAUGGCAAAACCUCUAUUUUACUUGGCCGUGGUUGGCUUUAGCAAACACUGUACCAAGCCUCAAGCCUCUGGCAAGCACCCAGCAGCGACCUCCAGGCAGGGGCCCAGCUCCUUCCUGCACACACAGGGAGUGGUGCUGCCAUGCCCUGCUCACAGCCCUGUGUGCUGCUCACAGCCAGAGCCAGGCCCCUGCACCGCAGAGCUCCGUCCCCGUCCCACAGCAUUAGCCUGGCACCGCUGCCGUGGAGCACUUUGGAGUAUUGUUUGCACAGCAGUUCCAUUUCUAAAAUUACAAAAGCGUUUCUCUCGGUUUGGUGGCAGCUUUUGUUCCCUCGAUGCUCGCAGCAGGUAG
This 1236-nucleotide long non-coding RNA is filed under the name Numida meleagris (helmeted guineafowl). RNAcentral describes it as "lncRNA (ENSNMEG00000016150.1)". The record is from RNAcentral. Lineage: Eukaryota; Metazoa; Chordata; Aves; Galliformes; Numididae.